Molecule: ribosomal RNA, 363 nt
Filed under: Triticum aestivum (bread wheat)
Lineage: Eukaryota; Viridiplantae; Streptophyta; Magnoliopsida; Poales; Poaceae
Description: partial small subunit ribosomal RNA
Source: RNAcentral
AUGGAGUUCUUGAUGCAGCAGAACUCUGCUAGAGGUCAACGAGAACAACAUCCCCACGAGUCCUCUUCAGUACCCUGUGAGGAUGCCUCCGGCCGUUGCGUUGCCGACGCACAGAUUUGUGCUGCUGAGGCUGCUCCAGUGGCAGGCAGUGGAGACAAGCGUCAGGGUUCAGAGAACUCCAUAGAGCAUGUUGACCCGAAAACUCCUGGCUGGAUAAAAGGAUUAAGAACUUUUCUGUGGAUCCCCUGCCUGCAUGAAUUUCGAGACACAAGCUCGGGGUUGGUGCUUCAUGAAAUGUUCAGAUAUAAAACGCCGGACAAAGUUGCCAAGUCCUUCUGUGCGACCUUGAGAUUCAAAUUUUGA